This 223-nucleotide ribosomal RNA is filed under the name uncultured bacterium. RNAcentral's name for it is "partial 16S ribosomal RNA". It matches the Rfam family "Bacterial small subunit ribosomal RNA", at positions 328 to 539 of the family's 1533-position model. The record is from RNAcentral.
ACGCUCGACACCUACGGGAGGCAGCAGUAGGGAAUCUUCCACAAUGGACGCAAGUCUGAUGGAGCAACGCCGCGUGAGUGAAGAAGGUUUUCGGAUCGUAAAGCUCUGUUGUUGGUGAAGAAGGAUAGAGGUAGUAACUGGCCUUUAUUUGACGGUAAUCAACCAGAAAGUCACGGCUAACUACGUGCAAGCAGCCGCGGUAAUCUGAGCGGGCUGGCAAGGC